AGCAAGUCUAUAUCAUCUAGACUUGCACAGCUUCAGUGUAGCACCACAAUGUGCAGGAACAUGCCGGGCAUCAUUGAGGUCUACUCGAAGAGAUGCAGAGUACCUCACAUCAAGAAGAAGAGGGAGAGAAGGUCCCCAACUAAUACUGCAGUCCCCAACAGUGAUAGAUGUUGUUCCCACAGAGCAGAAAGAACAUUUUCCUAGCUCGGUCCCUAUCACCUGCGAAUAACGGCGGAUUACUGCACACAGCGCUAAGUGACAACUUUAUGGUACACCUUUCAUCUCCUCAGAAGGUUCCACUGUAUCGAGUAUUGGUUAAGAACUUGGCUUUGGAUCGAACUCAAGGAUGAGUUGCCGUGGGCUCCAGUCCUGUCAGUCCCUGGAAGGAAGUUACACUCGAAGAGUGAGGAAGGACAAAAGACAAAGGGUUGCUUCUUUCCUCCCUUCGACCGGAUAAGCAUUUUCAGUUGCUUAGCUCAUUGAUAAUGAGAUGGGUUUUUUUUCUUCCUCUACUUCCCUAAAGGGGACUUCCCUUCCUUCCCUGGGGAUUGUCAGUCUGUGCCUUCUGCUUGUCGGGGCCUUGGGGAGAUCCCCUCUCAGCAGGAGAUGGAUGAGGCAAUUGAUCCUCACUCUCAGGUUAAUGAAUCCAAUUUCAUCCUUUGGACGAAUUGACUUUUGGGGUCCCACUGAGACAUGUGUUGUUGCUUAAAUCAGCAAAAUGAUCCCAAGACCAUAACAUGCAAUCCAACGCAGUCAUAUUCGAGGCUCUGGGACAUGGAUUAUCAUUAUUAUUAUUAUUACUAUAUUCUCAUCCGCAACAGCCCAAAGCAGAUUUAUGAAGACUGUGUCGCUUUGCCGGACGGACGUUUCGCUGCUCUAUAGCGCGUUUGUCCGGUGACGGCAGCAGACGCGCGAAUCGUGAGUCCUCUGCAAAUUGGUCGAUCAGAAGACGAGGUGCCAAAAAUACGUGAUUAGUGAUUAGUCACCGUCAAGCAUUAAAUAUAAUUAAAUAAUAAAUCAUAAAUAAUAAUAAUAAUAAAUUGAAUAUAAGUAUAGGUCGACUCGCCGACGAGUCGACAAAUCGAUUCAACCCCUAGUGCACAUUCACGCCUCAGUAACUAAACAUUUUACAAAUGGUUAUGUGUGAUUCUAUACAGCAGGGUGCUCAUUUUCUUUGGUUAUGGUAAGCACUAGUUAUGUAUGACUGGUGUGUAGAGAGCGGUUUUAGUUAAUUUACUUCGUUUAGUUAAUGCAGUGGUUUAGCUCAUUUACUUUGGCUUAUAAACUCUGUGGCUUCACAGGACUAUUUCAACGGUUAUCCAAACUUCAUUCAAACAUGACUCCAUUAAACCCCUGAAGAAGUUUAAAAAAAAACAACAACAUAUAAUUGCUCGUUAAAAUAUACAUGAUGUUAUAUCAAUGCAUGUUUUCAGCUCCUGUAAUGAGUCUAUUGAGCCCUAUAUUCUUUUCUCUGACACAUAUUAUGUAAACUUAUACACUUACAUUGAAAAUGAGUAAAUACUAUAUACAGCUAAGGUGUGGCACAGGUUAUGGUUAUUAAGUAUUCAGCAAGCUUAUUUUGGGGAUGAAUUUAAAUGUAGCCUAAUAAUGAUGAAUUAAAAAAAAUAGCGCAUCCCAUCUAACUUUGUGAAGUUUGUUUACAGGCUUCAGGGAAAUUAAGUAUAGCUGUUAUAUUGGGAGUAUUCGUCCAACUUACAUAGUGUUUGGAGGGAUUCCUCCUCUUCUGCACAUCCACAACAUUGACGUCAAGCACUGUCCUGAGCUGCAUCUCGACACAAGUGAACGUUACACUACCAAAUCAAAACACAACGUCUGCCCAUGAAAGCCAAGAGGAAGUUUACCGAAGACUGUCCACUGUGUUUUGUUUAAUGUUUGUUUUUUUCUAAGUUAGAUACUGUAGAGGGAAAAGUCCCAUGCAGCCAUAAGUACAAGGGUUGCUCUCGAGCGGUCUGGGAGCUUCUGAAACAUGACAGCCAAGUAAAAGUAAAUCAAGAGUUCUCCUCCUCCCGAAAGGACGGGG
Phycodurus eques (leafy seadragon) is the source of this 2041-nucleotide long non-coding RNA. RefSeq lists it as uncharacterized. Lineage: Eukaryota; Metazoa; Chordata; Actinopteri; Syngnathiformes; Syngnathidae. The record is from RefSeq and is a predicted model, not a curated record. The transcript is spliced from 3 exons.